This 386-nucleotide ribosomal RNA is filed under the name uncultured prokaryote. RNAcentral's name for it is "bacterial SSU rRNA". It matches the Rfam family "Archaeal small subunit ribosomal RNA", at positions 339 to 725 of the family's 1478-position model. The record is from RNAcentral.
GCGCGAAAACUUUACAAUGCUGGCAGCAGCGAUAAGGGAACCUCGAGUGCCAGGUUACAAAUCUGGCUGUCGAGAUGCCUAAAAAGCAUUUCAUAGCAAGGGCCGGGCAAGACCGGUGCCAGCCGCCGCGGUAACACCGGCGGCUCGAGUGGUAACCGUUAUUAUUGGGUCUAAAGGGUCUGUAGCCGGCCGGAUAAGUCUCUUUAGAAAUCUGGCAGCUUAAAUGUCAGGCUUUCAGGAGAUACUGUCUGGCUCGAGGCCGGGAGAGGUGAGAGGUACUUCAGGUGUAGGGGUGAAAUCUUGUAAUCCGUGAAGGACCACCAGUGGCGAAGGCGUCCCACCAGAACGGACCUGACGGCAAGGGACGAAAGCUAGGGGCACGAACC